Molecule: ribosomal RNA, 423 nt
Filed under: uncultured bacterium
Lineage: Bacteria
Description: bacterial SSU rRNA
Rfam family: Bacterial small subunit ribosomal RNA
Source: RNAcentral
GGAAUUUUGGACAAUGGGCGCAAGCCUGAUCCAGCAAUGCCGCGUGCAGGAAGAAGGCCUUCGGGUUGUAAAAUGCUUUUGUACGGAACGAAACGGUCCUGGUUAAUAACUGGGGCUAAGGACGGUACCGUAAGAAUAAGCACCGGCCAACUACGUGGCAGCAGCCGAGGUAAUACGUAGGGUGGAAGCGUUAAUCGGAAUUACUGGGCGUAAAGCGUGCGCAGGCGGUUUUGUAAGACAGGCGUGAAAUCCCCGGGCUUAACCUGGGAAUGGCGCUUGUGACUGCAAAGCUGGAGUGCGGCAGAGGGGGAUGGAAUUCCGCGUGUAGCAGUGAAAUGCGUAGAUAUGCGGAGGAACACCGAUGGCGAAGGCAAUCCCCUGGGCCUGCACUGACGCUCAUGCACGAAAGCGUGGGGAGCAAAC